AGAGUUUGAUUAUGGCUCAGGAUGAACGCUGGCGGCGUGCCUAACACAUGCAAGUCGAACGAAGCGCAUGCCUGGAACCCUCCGGGGGGAAGGGCAUAUGACUGAGUGGCGGACGGGUGAGUAACGCGUGGGCAACCUGCCCCGCACUGGGGGACAACAGCCGGAAACGGCUGCUAAUACCGCAUAUGCGCACAGCUUUGCAUGAAGCAGUGUGGAAAACUCCGGUGGUGCGGGAUGGGCCCGCGUCUGAUUAGCUGGUUGGCGGGGCAACGGCCCACCAAGGCGACGAUCAGUAGCCGGCCUGAGAGGGUGGACGGUCACAUUGGGACUGAGACACGGCCCAAACUCCUACGGGAGGCAGCAGUGGGGGAUAUUGCACAAUGGGGGGAACCCUGAUGCAGCGACGCCGCGUGAGCGAAGAAGUACCUCGGUAUGUAAAGCUCUAUC
RNAcentral lists this ribosomal RNA (447 nucleotides) under uncultured bacterium. RNAcentral describes it as "bacterial SSU rRNA". It matches the Rfam family "Bacterial small subunit ribosomal RNA", at positions 8 to 437 of the family's 1533-position model. The record is from RNAcentral.